This 465-nucleotide ribosomal RNA is filed under the name uncultured Klebsiella sp. RNAcentral describes it as "bacterial SSU rRNA". It matches the Rfam family "Bacterial small subunit ribosomal RNA", at positions 338 to 795 of the family's 1533-position model. The record is from RNAcentral. Lineage: Bacteria; Pseudomonadati; Pseudomonadota; Gammaproteobacteria; Enterobacterales; Enterobacteriaceae.
CCUACGGGUGGCAGCAGUGGGGAAUAUUGCACAAUGGGCGCAAGCCUGAUGCAGCCAUGCCGCGUGUGUGAAGAAGGCCUUCGGGUUGUAAAGCACUUUCAGCGGGGAGGAAGGCGGUGAGGUUAAUAACCUCAUCGAUUGACGUUACCCGCAGAAGAAGCACCGGCUAACUCCGUGCCAGCAGCCGCGGUAAUACGGAGGGUGCAAGCGUGAAUCGGAAUUACUGGGCGUAAAGCGCACGCAGGCGGUCUGUCAAGUCGGAUGUGAAAUCCCCGGGCUCAACCUGGGAACUGCAUUCGAAACUGGCAGGCUAGAGUCUUGUAGAGGGGGGUAGAAUUCCAGGUGUAGCGGUGAAAUGCGUAGAGAUCUGGAGGAAUACCGGUGGCGAAGGCGGCCCCCUGGACAAAGACUGACGCUCAGGUGCGAAAGCGUGGGGAGCAAACAGGAUUAGAUACCCGGGUAGUC